GCUGGUGUAGCUCAGUCGGUAGAGCAGUGCUUUCGUAAAGCACAGGUCGUCGGUUCGAGUCCGACCACCAGCUCCA
RNAcentral lists this transfer RNA (76 nucleotides) under Planctomycetota bacterium. RNAcentral describes it as "tRNA-Thr". It matches the Rfam family "tRNA". From Rfam's summary of the family: Transfer RNA (tRNA) molecules are approximately 80 nucleotides in length. Their secondary structure includes four short double-helical elements and three loops (D, anti-codon, and T loops). The record is from RNAcentral. Lineage: Bacteria; Pseudomonadati; Planctomycetota.